This 23-nucleotide small nuclear RNA is filed under the name Arabidopsis thaliana (thale cress). RNAcentral's name for it is "snRNA_06775". Lineage: Eukaryota; Viridiplantae; Streptophyta; Magnoliopsida; Brassicales; Brassicaceae. The record is from RNAcentral.
CGGUCGGGUUCGAGCUGCUCGGU